RNAcentral lists this ribosomal RNA (488 nucleotides) under uncultured bacterium. Its description in RNAcentral is "bacterial SSU rRNA". It matches the Rfam family "Bacterial small subunit ribosomal RNA", at positions 30 to 507 of the family's 1533-position model. The record is from RNAcentral.
AUUGAACGUUGGCGGCAGGCCUAACACAUGCAAGUCGAGCGGAAACGAUCCUAGCUUGCUAGGAGGCGUCGAGCGGCGGACGGGUGAGUAACGCGUGAGAAUCUACCCAUGAGUGGGGGACAACCCGGGGAAACUCGGGCUAAUACCGCAUACGCCCUACGGGGUAAAGCAGGGGACCUUCGGGCCUUGCGCUGAUGGAUGAGCUCGCGUCGGAUUAGCUUGUUGGUGAGGUAAAGGCUCACCAAGGCGACGAUCCGUAGCUGGUCUGAGAGGAUGAUCAGCCACACCGGGACUGAGACACGGCCCGGACUCCUACGGGAGGCAGCAGUGGGGAAUCUUGGACAAUGGGGGCAACCCUGAUCCAGCCAUGCCGCGUGUGUGAAGAAGGCCUUCGGGUUGUAAAGCACUUUCAGCAGGGAGGAAGGCUUACCCCUAAUACGGGUGAGUACUUGACGUUACCUGCAGAAGAAGCACCGGCUAAUUUCGUG